RNAcentral lists this ribosomal RNA (505 nucleotides) under uncultured bacterium. RNAcentral's name for it is "partial 16S ribosomal RNA". It matches the Rfam family "Bacterial small subunit ribosomal RNA", at positions 28 to 507 of the family's 1533-position model. The record is from RNAcentral.
GACGAACGCUGGCGGCGUGCCUAAUACAUGCAAGUCGAACGCACAGUUUAUACCGUAGCUUGCUACACCAUAGACUGUGAGUUGCGAACGGGUGAGUAACGCGUAGGUAACCUGCCUGGUAGCGGGGGAUAACUAUUGGAAACGAUAGCUAAUACCGCAUAAUAUUAAUUAUUGCAUGAUAAUUAAUUGAAAGGUGCAAUUGCACCACUACCAGAUGGACCUGCGUUGUAUUAGCUAGUAGGUGAGGUAACGGCUCACCUAGGCGACGAUACAUAGCCGACCUGAGAGGGUGAUCGGCCACACUGGGACUGAGACACGGCCCAGACUCCUACGGGAGGCAGCAGUAGGGAAUCUUCGGCAAUGGACGAAAGUCUGACCGAGCAACGCCGCGUGAGGGAAGAAGGUUUUCGGAUCGUAAAGCUCUGUUGUAAGAGAAGAACGGGUGUGAGAGUGGAAAGUUCACACUGUGACGGUAUCUUACCAGAAAGGGACGGCUAACUACGUG